AUUGAACGCUGGCGGCAUGCCUUACACAUGCAAGUCGAACGGUAACGGGCCUUCGGGUGCCGACGAGUGGCGAACGGGUGAGUAAUGUAUCGGAACGUACCUUUCAGUGGGGGAUAACGUAGCGAAAGUUACGCUAAUACCGCAUAUUCUGUGAGCAGGAAAGCAGGGGAUCGCAAGACCUUGCGCUGAUUGAGCGGCCGAUAUCAGAUUAGCUAGUUGGUGAGGUAAAGGCUCACCAAGGCGACGAUCCUGUAGCGGGUCUGAGAGGAUGAUCCGCCACACUGGAACUGAGACACGGUCCAGACUCCUACGGGAGGCAGCAGUGGGGAAUUUUGGACAAUGGGGGCAACCCUGAUCCAGCCAUGCCGCGUGAGUGAAGAAGGCCUUCGGGUUGUAAAGCUCUUUCGGCCGGGAAGAAAUCGUAUGGGUUAAUACCCUGUGCGGAUGACGGUACCGGCAUAAGAAGCACCGGCUAACUACGUG
RNAcentral lists this ribosomal RNA (483 nucleotides) under uncultured bacterium. RNAcentral describes it as "bacterial SSU rRNA". It matches the Rfam family "Bacterial small subunit ribosomal RNA", at positions 30 to 507 of the family's 1533-position model. The record is from RNAcentral.